This 494-nucleotide ribosomal RNA is filed under the name uncultured bacterium. RNAcentral's name for it is "partial 16S ribosomal RNA". It matches the Rfam family "Bacterial small subunit ribosomal RNA", at positions 28 to 506 of the family's 1533-position model. The record is from RNAcentral.
GACGAACGCUGGCGGCGUGCCUAAUACAUGCAAGUAGAACGCUGAAGGAGGAGCUUGCUUCUCCGGAUGAGUUGCGAACGGGUGAGUAACGCGUAGGUAACCUGCCUGGUAGCGGGGGAUAACUAUUGGAAACGAUAGCUAAUACCGCAUAACAGUAGAUAUCGCAUGAUAUCUGCUUGAAAGGUGCAAUUGCAUCACUACCAGAUGGACCUGCGUUGUAUUAGCUAGUUGGUGAGGUAACGGCUCACCAAGGCGACGAUACAUAGCCGACCUGAGAGGGUGAUCGGCCACACUGGGACUGAGACACGGCCCAGACUCCUACGGGAGGCAGCAGUAGGGAAUCUUCGGCAAUGGACGGAAGUCUGACCGAGCAACGCCGCGUGAGUGAAGAAGGUUUUCGGAUCGUAAAGCUCUGUUGUAAGAGAAGAACGAGUGUGAGAGUGGAAAGUUCACACUGUGACGGUAUCUUACCAGAAAGGGACGGCUAACUACGU